GUUACGCUAAUACCGCAUACGAUCCACGGAUGAAAGCAGGGGACCUUCGGGCCUUGUGCUAUACGAGCGGCCGAUGUCUGAUUAGCUAGUUGGUGAGGUAAAAGGCUCACCAAGGCGACGAUCAGUAGCGGGUCUGAGAGGAUGAUCCGCCACACUGGGACUGAGACACGGCCCAGACUCCUACGGGAGGCAGCAGUGGGGAAUUUUGGACAAUGGGCGCAAGCCUGAUCCAGCCAUGCCGCGUGUCUGAAGAAGGCCUUCGGGUUGUAAAGGACUUUUGUCAGGGAGCAAAACUUACUGGUUAAUACCUGGUGAGGUUGAGAGUACCUGAAGAAUAAGCACCGGCUAACUACGUGCCAGCAGCCGCGGUAAUACGUAGGGUGCAAGCGUUAAUCGGAAUUACUGGGCGUAAAGCGUGCGCAGGCGGACUUUUAAGCCAGAUGUGAAAGCCCCGAGCUUAACUUGGGAAUUGCG
RNAcentral lists this ribosomal RNA (474 nucleotides) under uncultured bacterium. Its description in RNAcentral is "bacterial SSU rRNA". It matches the Rfam family "Bacterial small subunit ribosomal RNA", at positions 157 to 625 of the family's 1533-position model. The record is from RNAcentral.